CCUCCUAUUUUCAGUUGGUUUUGGCAGCGCGAGGACUAGGGUAAUGAUUAAUAGGGAUAGUUGGGGGCAUUAAUAUUUAAUUGUCAGAGGUGAAAUUCUUGGAUUUAUGAAAGAUUAACUUCUGCGAAAGCAUCUGCCAAGGAUGUUUUCAUUAAUCAAGAACGAAAGUUAGGGGAUCGAAGACGAUCAGAUACCGUCGUAGUCUUAACCAUAAACGAUGCCGACCAGCGAUUAGGAGACGUUGAAUACA
This 250-nucleotide ribosomal RNA is filed under the name Acanthamoeba sp. RNAcentral describes it as "partial small subunit ribosomal RNA". It matches the Rfam family "Eukaryotic small subunit ribosomal RNA", at positions 825 to 1071 of the family's 1831-position model. Lineage: Eukaryota; Discosea; Longamoebia; Acanthamoebidae. The record is from RNAcentral.